AUUGAACGCUGGCGGCAUGCCUUACACAUGCAAGUCGAACGGCAGCACGGGUGCUUGCACCUGGUGGCGAGUGGCGAACGGGUGAGUAAUACAUCGGAACAUGUCCUGUAGUGGGGGAUAGCCCGGCGAAAGCCGGAUUAAUACCGCAUACGAUCCACGGAUGAAAGCGGGGGACCUUCGGGCCUCGCGCUAUAGGGUUGGCCGAUGGCUGAUUAGCUCGUUGGGGGGGUAAAGGCCUACCAAGGCGACGAUCAGUAGCUGGUCUGAGAGGGCGACCGGCCACACUGGGACUGAGACACGGCCCAGACUCCUACGGGAGGCAGCAGUGGGGAAUUUUGGACAAUGGGCGAAAGCCUGAUCCAGCAAUGCCGCGUGUGUGAAGAAGGCCUUCGGGUUGUAAAGCACUUUUGUCCGGAAAGAAAUCCUUGGCUCUAAUACAGUCGGGGGAUGACGGUACCGGAAGAAUAAGCACCGGCUAACUACGUG
RNAcentral lists this ribosomal RNA (486 nucleotides) under uncultured bacterium. RNAcentral describes it as "partial 16S ribosomal RNA". It matches the Rfam family "Bacterial small subunit ribosomal RNA", at positions 30 to 507 of the family's 1533-position model. The record is from RNAcentral.